CAUUAUACAGCGAAACUGCGAAUGGCUCAUUAUAUAAGUUAUCGUUUAUUUGAUAGUGCCUACUACUUGGAUAACCCGUGGUAAUUCUAGAGCUAAUACAUGCUAAAAAUCCCGACUUCGGAAGGGAUGUAUUUAUUAGAUUAAAAACCAAUGCCCUCGGGCUCUUUGGUGAUUCAUGAUAACUUCUCGAAUCGCACGGCCUUGCGCCGGCGAUGGCUCAUUCAAAUUUCUUCCCUAUCAACUUUCGAUGUUUGGGUAGUGGCCAAACAUGGUUGCAACGGGUAACGGAGGGUUAGGGCUCGACCCCGGAGAAGGAGCCUGAGAAACGGCUACUACAUCCAAGGAAGGCAGCAGGCGCGCAAAUUACCCAAUCCCGAUUCGGGGAGGUAGUGACAAUAAAUACUGAUACAGGGCUCUUUCGGGUCUUGUAAUCGGAAUGAGUACAAUUUAAAUCCCUUAACGAGGAACAAUUGGAGGGCAAGUCUGGUGCCAGCAGCCGCGGUAAUUCCAGCUCCAAUAGCGUAUAUUAAAGUUGUUGUGGUUAAAAAGCUCGUAGUUGAACCUUGGGCCUGGCUGGCCGGUCCGCCUCACCGCGUGUACUGGUCCGGCCGGGUCUUUCCCUCUGUGGAACCCCAUGCCCUUCACUGGGUGUGGCGGGGAAACAGGACUUUUACUUUGAAAAAAUUAGAGUGCUCCAGGCAGGCCUAUGCUCGAAUACAUUAGCAUGGAAUAAUGAAAUAGGACGUGCGGUUCUAUUUUGUUGGUUUCUAGGACCGCCGUAAUGAUUAAUAGGGACAGUCGGGGGCAUCAGUAUUCAAUUGUCAGAGGUGAAAUUCUUGGAUUUAUUGAAGACUAACUACUGCGAAAGCAUUUGCCAAGGAUGUUUUCAUUAAUCAGGAACGAAAGUUAGGGGAUCGAAAACGAUCAGAUACCGUUGUAGUCUUAACCAUAAACUAUGCCGACUAGGGAUCGGACGAUGUUAUUUUUUGACUCGUUCGGCACCUUACGAUAAAUCAAAGUGCUGGCUCCA
This 1030-nucleotide ribosomal RNA is filed under the name Koorchaloma bambusae. RNAcentral describes it as "SSU rRNA". It matches the Rfam family "Eukaryotic small subunit ribosomal RNA", at positions 72 to 1116 of the family's 1831-position model. Lineage: Eukaryota; Fungi; Ascomycota; Sordariomycetes; Trichosphaeriales; Trichosphaeriaceae. The record is from RNAcentral.